RNAcentral lists this non-coding RNA (700 nucleotides) under Haemaphysalis yeni. Lineage: Eukaryota; Metazoa; Arthropoda; Arachnida; Ixodida; Ixodidae. The record is from RNAcentral.
UAAUUAAAUUUGGUUAGUAAGAAAAAUUAGCUUUAAAUUCUUUAUAAAUUAUAUAGAUUUAUAAAAUUUAGAAGAUAAAAUUUACUUAAUAAUAUAAAAAAUUAUUGAUAUUUAGAGCAAUCUCUAGUAAAUUUUGUGCCAGCAACAGCGGUUAUACAAAAAGAGACUUUUUUAAUUAAAAACUUAAUUUAAUUGAUUUUUUAAAAUUUUAAAGAAAAAUUAAGGUGAAAUUUUUUUUUCUUUUUAGAAUAAAAUAAAGUAAAAAUUCUUUUUAAAUAAACUAGGAUUAGAUACCCUAUUAUUGAGAGCUAAAUGUUGUAAGUAUAUAUAUAAUAUGAAAACAAAAAAUUAUGGCGGUAUUUUAAGCUUUUCAGAGGAAUUUGCUCUUUAAUGGAUAAAACACCUAAAUCUUACUAAAAUUGGUUAAACAGUUUGUAUAUCACUAUUUAAGUAAAAAUUUGUAAUUAUUACUAUAAUUUAAUACUUUAAAAAAAGUUAAGUCAAGAUGCAGCAAAAGUUUUAGAAUGAAGUGAAUUACAUUUCUUUAUAGAGAUUUAAAAAUGAAAUCAAUAAUUUAGGAUUUGAAAGUAAAAUUUUAAUAAAAUGAAAAUUUGAAUUAAGCUCUAAAAUAUGUACAUAUCGCCCGUCGCUCUUUUAUGAAGAUAAGUCGUAACAAAGUUAAAAUACUGGAAAGUGUUUU